AGUGAACGCUGGCGGCGUGCCUAAUACAUGCAAGUCGAACGGAGUGGCGCCCGGGUGAGUAAUGUAUAGCUAAUCUGCCCUCCACUAGAGGACAACAGUUGGCAACUACUGCUAAUACUCUAUAGUGUAGGAUGAGGCUAUAUUGUAUCAGCUAGUUGGUGAGGUAAUGGCUCACCAAGGCUAUGACGCAUAACUGGUGUGAGAGGAUGAGCAGUCACACUGGAAGGGAGACACGGUCCAGACGCCUACGAGAGGGAGCAGUAGGGAAUAUUGCUCAAUGGGGGAAACCCUGAAGGAGCAACGCCGCGUGGAGGAUGACACGUGUCGGAGAGUAAACGCCUUUUGUUAGGGAAGCGGUACCUAACGAAUAAGCACCGGCUAACUCCGUGCCAGCAGCCGCGGUAAUUC
This 408-nucleotide ribosomal RNA is filed under the name uncultured bacterium. Its description in RNAcentral is "partial 16S ribosomal RNA". It matches the Rfam family "Bacterial small subunit ribosomal RNA", at positions 29 to 526 of the family's 1533-position model. The record is from RNAcentral.